UAGGGAAUCUUCGGCAAUGGACGGAAGUCUGACCGAGCAACGCCGCGUGAGUGAAGAAGGUUUUCGGAUCGUAAAGCUCUGUUGUAAGAGAAGAACGAGUGUGAGAGUGGAAAGUUCACACUGUGACGGUAUCUUACCAGAAAGGGACGGCUAACUACGUGCCAGCAGCCGCGGGUAAUACGUAGGUCCCGAGCGUUGUCCGGAUUUAUUGGGCGGAAAGCGAGCGCAGGGGGGUAGAUAUAGUCUGAAGUUGAAGGCUGUGGCUGUACCUUAANCAGAUUUAGGAAACUGGAUACUGUUUAAGUUGAGUGCGAGAGGGGAUACCGNAAUUCCAUGUGUAACGGUGAAAUGCGUAGAUNUAUGGAGGAACACCGGUGGCGAAAGCGGUUGUCUGGCUUGUAACUGACGCUGAGGCUCGAAAGCGUGGGGAGCAAACAGGAUUAGAUACCCUGGUAGUCCACGCUGUAAACGAUGAGUGCUAUGUGUUAGACCCUUUCCGGGGUUUAGUGCCGUAGCUAACGCAUUANGCACUCCGCCUGGGGAGUACGACCGCAAGGUUG
RNAcentral lists this ribosomal RNA (560 nucleotides) under uncultured bacterium. Its description in RNAcentral is "bacterial SSU rRNA". It matches the Rfam family "Bacterial small subunit ribosomal RNA", at positions 355 to 896 of the family's 1533-position model. The record is from RNAcentral.